This 45-nucleotide non-coding RNA is filed under the name Schistosoma mansoni. Lineage: Eukaryota; Metazoa; Platyhelminthes; Trematoda; Strigeidida; Schistosomatidae. The record is from RNAcentral.
GUCCAUCUGACGAGUUUCAAAUAGGAUGAAACGCGCGUCCUCGAU